UCAAGCUACAAAGAGCACAAGGGGAAUGCCUUGGCACCGAGAGCCGAAGAAGGACGUGACUAACUGCGAUAAGCUACGGGGAGCUGUAAGUGAGCGUUAUAUCCGUAGAUUUCCGAAUGGAGCAAUCCGAUUAGAGGAAAGUCUAAUCAUCAUAUACUGAAUACAUAGGUAUAUGAGGGGAACCGCCUGAACUGAAACAUCUAAGUAGGGCGAGGAAGAGAAAUCAACUGAGAUUCCGUAAGUAGUGGCGAGCGAACGCGGAAGAGGCCAAACCUAAUGUAGUAAUAUGUUAGGGGUUCGGACAGUAUAAUGAAUUGUCGAGAUUUAGCCGAAUGUCAUGGGAAGGGCAAUCAAAGAAGGUGAAAAUCCUGUAGGCGAAAAGUUAAGACAUCAGACUGUAUCCAGAGUACCGCCGGACACGUGAAACCCGGUGGGAAUACGGGGGGACCAUCCUCCAAGCCUAAAUACUACUCGAUGACCGAUAGAGAAGAAGUACUGUGAAGGAAAGGUGAAAAGCACCCCGGAAGGGGAGUGAAAGAGAACCUGAAACCUUGUGUUUACAAGCACCGAAAGUUCAUCAACGAACGAUCGGGUACCUUUUGUAGAAUGGUCCGGCGAGUGAAUGUAACUGGCAAGGUUAAGCACUUAAGGUGUGAAGCCGUAGCGAGAGCGAGUCUGAAAAGGGCGCAUGAAGUCAGUUGUAUUCGACCCGAAACCGGGUGACCUACCCAUGUCCAGGCUGAAGUGCAGGUAAAACUUCAUGGAGGGCCGAACCGACUCCCGUUGAAAUGGUAGCGGAUGAGGUGUGGGUAGCGGAGAAAUUCCAAUCGAACCCGGAGAUAGCUGGUUCUCUCCGAAAUAGCUUUAGGGCUAGCCUUGGAAUAGAUUACUGGAGGUAAAGCACUGAAUUGGCUAGGGGCCGAGAGGUUACUGAACCUUAUCAAACUAAGAAUGCCAGAUAAUCGUUUUCCAGGAGUCAGACAGUGGGAGAUAAGUUUCAUUGUCAAAAGGGAAACAGCCCAGACCUACAGCUAAGGUCCCAAAGUAUAGUUAAGUGGAAAAGGAUGUGGAAUUGCAUAGACAACCAGGAUGUUGGCUUAGAAGCAGCCACUCAUUAAAAGAGUGCGUAAUAGCUCACUGGUCGAGUGAUUCUGCGCCGAAAAUUUAACGGGGCUAAACUAUACACCGAAGCUUAGGAUACCGCAAGGUAUGGUAGGAGAGCGUUCUGUACGGAGUGAAGUCGUAGCGAAAGCGGCGGUGGACUGUACAGAAGUGAGAAUGCCGGAAUAAGUAGCGAGAAUUAAGUGAGAAUCUUAAUGGCCGAAAGUCUAAGGUUUUUGGAGGAAGGUUCGUCCGCUCCAAGUAAGUCGGGAGCUAAGGUCAGGCCGAAAGGCGUAGCCGAUGCACAAACGGUUGAUAUUCCGUUACCGUCUACAAUUUAAACAAGGGGACACAUACAAAGCGUUUAACCCGGGCGAUGGUUGACCCGGGCGCAAGGGACUGAAAUAAGAGUAGGGAAGUAAAUGUGGCGUAUGGCGAGAAAAGCUUUGUGUAUAGAAGUAGACGCCCGUACCGCAAACCGACACAGGUGGACAGGAAGAGAAUUCUAAGGCCAGCGGGAGAAGGGUAGUUAAGGAACUCGGCAAAUUGACUCCGUAACUUCGGAAUAAGGAGUGCUCGAAAGAGCCGCAGAGAAUAGGCCCAGGCGACUGUUUAGCAAAAACACAGGUCUCUGCCAAAUCGAAAGAUGAAGUAUAGGGGCUGACACCUGCCCGGUGCCGGAAGGUUAAGAGGAGGAGUGCAAGCUCCGAAUUGAAGCCCCGGUAAACGGCGGCCGUAACUAUAACGGUCCUAAGGUAGCGAAAUUCCUUGUCGGGU
Molecule: ribosomal RNA, 1878 nt
Filed under: human gut metagenome
Description: bacterial LSU rRNA
Rfam family: Bacterial large subunit ribosomal RNA
Source: RNAcentral